This 497-nucleotide ribosomal RNA is filed under the name uncultured bacterium. Its description in RNAcentral is "partial 16S ribosomal RNA". It matches the Rfam family "Bacterial small subunit ribosomal RNA", at positions 28 to 507 of the family's 1533-position model. The record is from RNAcentral.
GAUGAACGCUGGCGGCGUGCCUAAUACAUGCAAGUCGAGCGAACAGACGAGGAGCUUGCUCCUCAGACGUUAGCGGCGGACGGGUGAGUAACACGUGGAUAACCUACCUAUAAGACUGGGAUAACUUCGGGAAACCGGAGCUAAUACCGGAUAAUAUAUUGAACCGCAUGGUUCAAUAGUGAAAGACGGUUUUGCUGUCACUUAUAGAUGGAUCCGCGCCGCAUUAGCUAGUUGGUAAGGUAACGGCUUACCAAGGCAACGAUGCGUAGCCGACCUGAGAGGGUGAUCGGCCACACUGGAACUGAGACACGGUCCAGACUCCUACGGGAGGCAGCAGUAGGGAAUCUUCCGCAAAGGGCGAAAGCCUGACGGAGCAACGCCGCGUGAGUGAUGAAGGUCUUCGGAUCGUAAAACUCUGUUAUUAGGGAAGAACAAAUGUGUAAGUAACUAUGCACGUCUUGACGGUACCUAAUCAGAAAGCCACGGCUAACUACGUG